This 298-nucleotide unclassified non-coding RNA is filed under the name uncultured fungus. RNAcentral's name for it is "sequence contains ITS2". The record is from RNAcentral. Lineage: Eukaryota; Fungi.
AACGCAUAUUGCACUCUUUGGUAUUCCGAAGAGUAUGCUUGUUUCAGUAUCAUGAAAAUCGUCAUUAAAUAUGAAUUUUUUUUUUUUUUCAAAUUUAAUGGAUUUGAAUUUGCGAUUUUGGAUAAUUGCUAAUUUGAAAUGAAUUUCAAGAAGCUGAUGCUAGAUCUUUGCUUAAUAGUUUUGAUUUUUUAAAUCAAAUCUUUAGCUCUGAUCUUUUAAGCAAAAAGUGAAUUGAUUUUACGAAAAUCUUAUCUCAUUUUUUGAUCUGAAAUCAAGUAGGACUACCCGCUGAACUUAA